AAGUUAUUGGUUUUUACAACUACCUUUCAUUCGUCGACUCCAUGGGUCAACUCAAAAUACCCGAAAAUCGUCAAAAAUCGCGGUUUUGGUCAAAUCUGACUUUUAGCUAAUAACACGUCAUUCCAACCCCAAAUUUGACAAGGAUCACGAAAAUCAUACUCGUUUUGUUAUGGGAUCCCUAUUUUCGGAGAUAUUGGCUACUUCUGGUUACUUCCGGAAAAUUUUCGUGGACAUCUGAAAAAAGUAAAAAAUGAGCUGUAUUGUUCUAACAAUUUCAAGUACUUUUUUCGCAGGCGUUAGGGUGUGAUAACUAUUAUUCCGUGUUUUUCUUAUUUUCAACACUGCACAGGCUGAUCCUAUGAGCUACGACAAUUUUACCAACAAAUGUUUAGCGUUUCGUGCUGCAACUAGUAGUUGUUGAUAUUCCAGGAUUUUGCCUAAAAUUGGAAUUCAGCUAUCAGAGAUUAGAAAAAAAAUUCAAGCACUUAAAAGUGGAACUCUAGAUGGCGUUCAUGUGCGUCUGUGAUGAAGAUUACGAGUGACAAGUUAAAUGGGUGUUUUUUACGUUACCCUGUUUAGUGUUUCAAAGGAUUUUUCAUCAAAAAAUUUACGAUUGCUUUUUGUAUGUGGUGGUGUUUCGCCUUGUCAGCUAUGCCAGCUGCUGAACCAGCAUCCUGCAUUCCUGCUAUCAAUGUACCACAAGAGAUCCUGACACUUUAAGAAGGCCACUGUUCCUAACAUGAAGAAUACAAUCAAUCGACCACAGAGUCUUCAUCUACUUUGUGUUGCUAAUCAUCAGCCCUCAGCAUCCCAGAACAUUACUUAUCUUCACUACACACAUCAUCUGCAUCAAUUUUAUCUACACAGGCUUCUCUUCAUCUCUUCUUAUUUUUUCGAAUGCCAACAUGGAAUAAGGUUCAUCUUCAUUGUCUUACCAUGAAAAUUGCCAGUGUUAAUCCUGCUGUUCUUCUCACCGUUACUUUGCCAGCUAACAUGUAAUAGGAAAUAUUCAUCUUUUUUCGGUACAACACUGCCGUUUCGACAAUUUCGGUAGUUUCACCCCCAGUGGACCAAACGCAACUACAUUUUUUUCGUCUACCUGUCGUUUUUGUCUACGCCUUCACCUCAUCGCUCUCUUCGUCUACUUCCUCACAUCAUCACUGUCUUCGUCGAUGUCUUCGCCUUCAUCUCCGUCUUGGCCGUCUUUGUCUACGCCAUCACCUUGUCGCCGUAUUUGUCUACGGCAUCAACUCGUCGCCGGCUUCGGCUUCGCCUUCGCCCUUCACGUAGGGAGUUCACCGUGGAUCGCCAUGCUGGUAUUCCAUUAUUUUGCAUUGUAAUGUUUAAGUUAACCCGUUGGCUGCCACCCCGUUUGCGUCCCAUUUUUUUUGUAGCUUGUAGGGACCGGGCGCUGUUUUGCCCCAUGGCCAUGGGGGGAACAGUCGCCGCGCCUAAAGGCUUUGUGCCUUUAGGCGCCGUAGGCAAUGCACCAGUAGGGACUCUCUUUGUCGGUGCGAUGAUAGAUUCCUGGGGUGUGCAUUCCCGGAAUGGAAUCUAUUACCGUGUCAGCCCGGACUUGUCUUCGGACAAGUCCCCCCUUGUUCGUGGAUCCAUCUGACGCGAAGCGUAGUAACCGUAGUUUAGCAACCUAAGGGUUGCAUGGCCUGGCAGCCAAUGGGUUAACUUAGUAAUGUGUUGUAUGUAUGUAUGUAUGAAUGUAUGUAUAUGUAUUUUGUAUUAUAUAAAACG
This 1749-nucleotide long non-coding RNA is filed under the name Daphnia magna. RNAcentral describes it as "uncharacterized LOC116925008, transcript variant X2". Lineage: Eukaryota; Metazoa; Arthropoda; Branchiopoda; Diplostraca; Daphniidae. The record is from RNAcentral.